This 263-nucleotide unclassified non-coding RNA is filed under the name plant metagenome. RNAcentral's name for it is "partial contains small subunit ribosomal RNA, internal transcribed spacer 1, and 5.8S ribosomal RNA". The record is from RNAcentral.
UUUCCGUAGGUGAACCUGCGGAAGGAUCAUUAUUGUAUAACCGAGGUGCGAGGGCUGUCGAUGACCCGAAAGGUCGUGCACGCCCGAGUGCCCUCACACACAUCCAUCUCACCCCUAUGUGCACCACCGCGUGGGUCCCCCUUUGGCUUGUUCGGAGGGGGGCUUACGUUUUCACACAAACUUUGUAUGCAGUGUAGAAUGUAUUUUUUGUUUUUGCGAUCACGCAAUCAAUACAACUUUCAACAACGGAUCUCUUGGCUCUC